CCUACGGGAGGCAGCAGUGAGGAAUAUUGGUCAAUGGACGAGAGUCUGAACCAGCCAAGUAGCGUGAAGGAUGACUGCCCUAUGGGUUGUAAACUUCUUUUAUAUGGGAAUGAAAUGUUCCACGUGUGGGAUUUUGUAUGUACCAUAUGAAUAAGGAUCGGCUAACUCCGUGCCAGCAGCCGCGGUAAUACGGAGGAUCCGAGCGUUAUCCGGAUUUAUUGGGUUUAAAGGGAGCGUAGGUGGAUUGUUAAGUCAGUUGUGAAAGUUUGCGGCUCAACCGUAAAAUUGCAGUUGAAACUGGCAGUCUUGAGGACAGUAGAGGUGGGCGGAAUUCGUGGUGUAGCGGUGAAAUGCUUAGAUAUCACGAAGAACUCCGAUUGCGAAGGCAGUUCACUGGACUGCAACUGACACUGAGGCUCGAAAGUGUGGGUAUCAAACAGGAUUAGAUACCCGUGUAGUC
This 460-nucleotide ribosomal RNA is filed under the name uncultured bacterium. RNAcentral describes it as "partial 16S ribosomal RNA". It matches the Rfam family "Bacterial small subunit ribosomal RNA", at positions 338 to 795 of the family's 1533-position model. The record is from RNAcentral.